RNAcentral lists this ribosomal RNA (426 nucleotides) under uncultured bacterium. Its description in RNAcentral is "bacterial SSU rRNA". It matches the Rfam family "Bacterial small subunit ribosomal RNA", at positions 356 to 773 of the family's 1533-position model. The record is from RNAcentral.
GGGGAAUAUUGGACAAUGGGGGGAACCCUGAUCCAGCCAUGCCGCGUGUGUGAAGAAGGCCUUAUGGUUGUAAAGCACUUUAAGCGAGGAGGAGGGUACUGGUAUUAAUACUACCAGGUACUGGACGUUACUCGCAGAAUAAGCACCGGCUAACUCUGUGCCAGCAGCCGCGGUAAUACAGAGGGUGCGAGCGUUAAUCGGAUUUACUGGGCGUAAAGCGUGCGUAGGCGGCUAAUUGAGUCGGAUGUGAAAUCCCCGAGCUUAACUUGGGAAUUGCAUUCGAUACUGGUUAGCUAGAGUGUGGGAGAGGAUGGUAGAAUUCCAGGUGUAGCGGUGAAAUGCGUAGAGAUCUGGAGGAAUACCGAUGGCGAAGGCAGCCAUCUGGCCUAACACUGACGCUGAGGUACGAAAGCAUGGGGAGCAAAC